Molecule: ribosomal RNA, 689 nt
Filed under: Flavobacterium psychrophilum
Lineage: Bacteria; Pseudomonadati; Bacteroidota; Flavobacteriia; Flavobacteriales; Flavobacteriaceae
Description: bacterial SSU rRNA
Rfam family: Bacterial small subunit ribosomal RNA
Source: RNAcentral
AGUCGAGGGGUAGAAAGCAAUAUUUGAGACCGGCGCACGGGUGCGUAACGCGUAUGCAAUCUACCUUUUACAGAGGGAUAGCCCAGAGAAAUUUGGAUUAAUACCUCAUAGUAUAGUGAGUUGGCAUCAACACACUAUUAAAGUCACAACGGUAAAAGAUGAGCAUGCGUCCCAUUAGCUAGUUGGUAAGGUAACGGCUUACCAAGGCAACGAUGGGUAGGGGUCCUGAGAGGGAGAUCCCCCACACUGGUACUGAGACACGGACCAGACUCCUACGGGAGGCAGCAGUGAGGAAUAUUGGUCAAUGGGCGCAAGCCUGAACCAGCCAUGCCGCGUGCAGGAUGACGGUCCUAUGGAUUGUAAACUGCUUUUGCACAGGAAGAAACACUCGGUCGUGACCGAGCUUGACGGUACUGUGAGAAUAAGGAUCGGCUAACUCCGUGCCAGCAGCCGCGGUAAUACGGAGGAUCCAAGCGUUAUCCGGAAUCAUUGGGUUUAAAGGGUCCGUAGGCGGCCAGAUAAGUCAGUGGUGAAAGCCCAUCGCUCAACGAUGGAACGGCCAUUGAUACUGUUUGGCUUGAAUUAUUUGGAAGUAACUAGAAUAUGUAGUGUAGCGGUGAAAUGCUUAGAGAUUACAUGGAAUACCAAUUGCGAAAGGCAGGUUACUACAAAUUGAUUGACGCUGAUGG